GGGGCUGUCAUGGCAUCGACGUUUUAGAAACUAUGAUAUUAUGAUACAAGUCAAGAUUGAGUACAUCUUGUAAAUAAAACUCAGAAUAAUAAAUGCAAAUAAUAUUGUAACUUUUGCUCGUAAAUUAGCAGUUGUAUAAUAAAUAUUACUUUUUAUGUGUAAUUACAUAAAAAACUAAUAAGAUCUGAGCGAAUCUUCCGGGAAUGAGAUUGGCGCAAUAACAAAUCCCAAACCUAAGAUUGAAUUUCAAAAGUAUUUGCUUUAAAUAUAGAAUAAAGCUAAACUUGUGAAUGAUUAUGUUAUACGUUCUCAAAUGCACGUGGGUUCAAUUCCCACCAGCUCCA
Molecule: transfer-messenger RNA, 344 nt
Rfam family: transfer-messenger RNA
About the family: Bacterial tmRNA, also known as 10Sa RNA or SsrA, is named for its dual tRNA and mRNA-like properties. Its role is to liberate the mRNA from a stalled ribosome.